AUCCAGCUGACGAAUCCCAAAUAGGACGAAGCGGCGCGCGUCAAACUGGAU
Non-coding RNA from Schistosoma mansoni, 51 nucleotides. The record is from Rfam. NCBI's taxonomy places the organism in Eukaryota, Metazoa, Platyhelminthes, Trematoda, Strigeidida, Schistosomatidae.